Sinocyclocheilus anshuiensis is the source of this 390-nucleotide long non-coding RNA. RefSeq lists it as uncharacterized. NCBI's taxonomy places the organism in Eukaryota, Metazoa, Chordata, Actinopteri, Cypriniformes, Cyprinidae. The record is from RefSeq and is a predicted model, not a curated record. The transcript has 3 exons.
GGACAGGAGGUUUCACUGCAUUGGUAGGCUACCGGCAUGACAUUAUAGGAUUGGAACCAUAUAAUUCAGCCCCCUCAGCAGGUUAAGUUUUAUAUCCGAACUUGACUGACAUGGUUCGGACUGAACAGUAUAAAGUGCAUCAGUCCAGUAGUUCUCAGGCCACUGAACUAAAACCCGGAGCCGGGUGGAUGUUAUAGGCACUGUGGAUUUGUCUUGAAGACCUUUUUUCUCAACAUUUUUGUCGUAGAGGACAUAUAGCCUAGACUUUGUGUUGUUACAGUUGGAUUGCACAUUACAGCAGGAGUUAUGAUACUCAGGAGAAAUUUCUACUUGCUGCCUUUGCUGUUACUGUGCAUCAGAGCACUACCUCAAGAUGGCCAUGUGGAAGAU